GCCAGCGUGGCAUAGUGGUUUGAAAGCUGGACUAUGACUCUGGAGACCAGGGUUUGAUUCCCAGCUCAGCCA
Phrynosoma platyrhinos (Desert horned lizard) is the source of this 72-nucleotide non-coding RNA. Lineage: Eukaryota; Metazoa; Chordata; Lepidosauria; Squamata; Phrynosomatidae. The record is from the annotation of a GenBank genome assembly.